This 656-nucleotide ribosomal RNA is filed under the name uncultured eukaryote. RNAcentral's name for it is "SSU rRNA". It matches the Rfam family "Eukaryotic small subunit ribosomal RNA", at positions 614 to 1266 of the family's 1831-position model. The record is from RNAcentral.
UGCGGUUAAAAAGCUCGUAGUUGGAUGUCGGCGAUCAGGGGCCGGUGAUAUAUUGUUGUAUGCUACUGGCCCAUUUGGUCGUAUGUUUUGAAAGAGGGUUUGGGGUCCCCUUCACUGGGUGUCCUAGGUCGCUUUCAGGUUUACUUUGAAAAAAUUAGAGUGCUCAAAGCAGGCUUUAACGCUUGAAUAUUCGUGCAUGGAAUAAUAGAAUAGGAAGUUCGUUUCUAUUUUGUUGGUUUUAGGAUAACGACUUAAUGAUUAAUAGGGACAAUCGGGGGAAUUAGUAUUCAAACGACAGAGGUGAAAUUCUUGGACCGUUUGAAGACUAACUACUGCGAAAGCAUUUUCCAAGAGUGUUUUCAUUAAUCAAGAACGAAGUUAGAGGUUCGAAGGCGAUCAGAUACCGCCCUAGUUCUAACCAUAAACGAUGCCAGCUAGCGAUCUCAGGGUGCGUAAUACUAAGGCCCCUGAGGGAGCUUCCGGGAAACCAAAGCUUGUGGGUUCCGGGGGAAGUAUGGUUGCAAAGCUGAAACUUAAAGGAAUUGACGGAAGGGCACCACCAGGAGUGGAGCCUGCGGCUUAAUUUGACUCAACACGGGAAAUCUCACCAGGCCCGGACACCGGAAGGAUUGACAGAUUGAGAGCUCUUUCUCGAU